CCUCAUUGGUUGUAAAAGGUCAGGACUUGCCAUCUUAAUGGUAAAGUAUGAAUACUUAUUGUUUCAUGGAGAGUUGCCAUCAUGUAUUAACAUACAUUUCUCAUUGGUUGUAGUUAUGUUGCAGUGGAGAUAUGUGGGCUGCUAUUGAUGGUGUAUCAAAGGCUUCUCAAGGUAGUGAAUAUUGGCAAUCAGUCCCAGUUUUGCAUGUCUGCACAGUACUGUACGAUGAAGCAUUACCUACAUUUCUACCUUUUACACAGUACUGUACGAUGAAGCAUUGCCUGCUAUUUUACAGGUUAUGAUUGAAGAUAUUGGGAAGCAGAUUAAGUAACUAUAAACCUACAAGGUGCAGGACAUUGAUUUACUUGACUAGAAUUGUUGAACUGUAAUUUGUUAUACUUUAUAAAUUUGUUUGCAUAUGGUGUAUUUUGAUUCAGUUAAUAUUGCAUUUGGUGGUGUAUUUUGAGGGGUGUACAAUUGGAGAAAGCUUCCUUUUAUUAUUAAUUAAUUUUUUUUUUGGGUUUUUUACAAGUUUUAAGGACACGUUUUGAACGUCCUCUAUGACUCUUUUAAGUGUCCUGUUUUAGUUUUAAGGACACAUAUGAGUGUAUUUUUUGUGUCCUCUUAUGGUUUUAAGGACUCCAUUUUCAGAGCUUUUAGGACACAGUUUGUGUGUCCUAGUAUAGAA
This is a long non-coding RNA of Rosa chinensis, 688 nucleotides long. RefSeq lists it as uncharacterized. Lineage: Eukaryota; Viridiplantae; Streptophyta; Magnoliopsida; Rosales; Rosaceae. The record is from RefSeq and is a predicted model, not a curated record. The transcript is spliced from 3 exons.